GGGUUGUGAGGUUAAGCGACUAAGCGUACACGGUGGAUGCCCUGGCAGUCAGAGGCGAUGAAGGACGUGCUAAUCUGCGAUAAGCGUCGGUAAGGUGAUAUGAACCGUUAUAACCGGCGAUUUCCGAAUGGGGAAACCCAGUGUGAUUCGUCACACUAUCAUUAACUGAAUCCAUAGGUUAAUGAGGCGAACCGGGGGAACUGAAACAUCUAAGUACCCCGAGGAAAAGAAAUCAACCGAGAUUCCCCCAGUAGCGGCGAGCGAACGGGGAGCAGCCCAGAGCCUGAAUCAGUGUGUGUGUUAGUGGAAGCGUCUGGAAAGGCGCGCGAUACAGGGUGACAGCCCCGUACACAAAAAUGCACAUGCUGUGAGCUCGAUGAGUAGGGCGGGACACGUGGUAUCCUGUCUGAAUAUGGGGGGACCAUCCUCCAAGGCUAAAUACUCCUGACUGACCGAUAGUGAACCAGUACCGUGAGGGAAAGGCGAAAAGAACCCCGGCGAGGGGAGUGAAAAAGAACCUGAAACCGUGUACGUACAAGCAGUGGGAGCACGCUUAGGCGUGUGACUGCGUACCUUUUGUAUAAUGGGUCAGCGACUUAUAUUCUGUAGCAAGGUUAACCGAAUAGGGGAGCCGAAGGGAAACCGAGUCUUAACUGGGCGUUAAGUUGCAGGGUAUAGACCCGAAACCCGGUGAUCUAGCCAUGGGCAGGUUGAAGGUUGGGUAACACUAACUGGAGGACCGAACCGACUAAUGUUGAAAAAUUAGCGGAUGACUUGUGGCUGGGGGUGAAAGGCCAAUCAAACCGGGAGAUAGCUGGUUCUCCCCGAAAGCUAUUUAGGUAGCGCCUCGUGAAUUCAUCUCCGGGGGUAGAGCACUGUUUCGGCAAGGGGGUCAUCCCGACUUACCAACCCGAUGCAAACUGCGAAUACCGGAGAAUGUUAUCACGGGAGACACACGGCGGGUGCUAACGUCCGUCGUGAAGAGGGAAACAACCCAGACCGCCAGCUAAGGUCCCAAAGUCAUGGUUAAGUGGGAAACGAUGUGGGAAGGCCCAGACAGCCAGGAUGUUGGCUUAGAAGCAGCCAUCAUUUAAAGAAAGCGUAAUAGCUCACUGGUCGAGUCGGCCUGCGCGGAAGAUGUAACGGGGCUAAACCAUGCACCGAAGCUGCGGCAGCGACGCUGAUGCGUUGUUGGGUAGGGGAGCGUUCUGUAAGCCUG
This 1219-nucleotide ribosomal RNA is filed under the name Escherichia coli. Its description in RNAcentral is "partial 23S ribosomal RNA". It matches the Rfam family "Bacterial large subunit ribosomal RNA", at positions 1 to 1251 of the family's 2925-position model. Lineage: Bacteria; Pseudomonadati; Pseudomonadota; Gammaproteobacteria; Enterobacterales; Enterobacteriaceae. The record is from RNAcentral.